Molecule: long non-coding RNA, 1107 nt
Filed under: Sarcophilus harrisii (Tasmanian devil)
Lineage: Eukaryota; Metazoa; Chordata; Mammalia; Dasyuromorphia; Dasyuridae
Description: lncRNA (ENSSHAG00000020961.1)
Source: RNAcentral
CCCAAAAUAGCUAAUACACACACACACACACACAUACUUGCAUCUGUCUUUCAUUCUAAAUUUUAGUACUUUUGACACUUCUUACAGGACUAAUACCAUACUUAUGUAUUCUUCCUCAGUUACUUGCGUCCAUCUUCUAUGUUUUGUCUUUUUUAAAAAUAUAAGUUGAUUAAGGAAUUCCUUAUAUCGUCAAUAUCAUUCUUUUCAGUUGACUUCCCCUCUUCCUUAUCAAAAUUAUUUUUCUUUUGAAUUCCACUCUUUUAUUGAAGCUUUUUAUUUUUAAAACAUACGCAAGGAUAAUUUUUCACCACUGACCCUUGCAAAACUUUGUGUUCCAAUUUCACUCUUCCUUCCCUCUACCCCCUCCCCAGAUGCCAAGUAAUCCAAUAUAUGUUAAACAUGAUAAAAUAUAUUUAAAUCCAAUAUAGGCAUAUGUAUUUAUACAAUUAUCUUGCUGCAUAAGAAAAGUCAGAUCAAAAAGGAAAAAAAAAUGAGAAAAAAUAAAAUUCAAGCAAACAACAACAAAAGAAGUGAAAAUGUUAUGUUGUGAUCCACACUCAGUUCCUACAGUCCUGUCUCUGGGUGUAGAUGGCUCUCUUCACCACAAGAUCACUGGAACUGGCCUCAAUCAUCUCAUUGUUGGAAAGAGCCCCAUCCAUCAGAAUUGAUCAUUGUAUAAUCUUGUUGUUGCCAUGCACAAUGAUCUGGUUCUGCUCAUUUCACUUAGCAUUAGUUUCUGUUAGUCUCUCCAGGCCUCUCUGAAAUCAUCCUGUUGAUAGUUUCUUAUAGAACAAUAAUAUUCUAUAACAUUCAGAUAUCAUAACUUAUUCAUCCAUUCUCCAACUGAUGGCCAUUGAAUUUCAUUCUUGAGAGCUUCUGCUAUUUUCUGAGGCUAACUUUCCAGAUCAACAUUAUCUUCAUCAACUGUUCACUUUCUGCAUGCUCCUCUUUCUUCCAAAGCCUCUGCCUUCUUUGGUUGGCAGAAGUGAUGAAAAUAACUUCAUUGCUCCCAAGGUUUUUAAAUUUUCUUGACCAAAACAUUGUAAUCUUAUUAAUACAUCCAGGCUUUCAGCAUCUCUUAUGAAUUACCACAAGUAGGCAGCACCC